UACGAAGGGUGCAAACGUUGCUCGGAAUUAUUGGGCGUAAAGCGCGUGUAGGCGGCUUGGCAAGUCGGGUGUGAAAUCCCUCGGCUUAACCGAGGAACUGCCUUCCAAACUGCUUCGCUUGAGACCGGGAGAGGUGAGUGGAAUUCCCAGUGUAGCGGUGAAAUGCGUAGAUAUCGGGAGGAACACCGGUGGCGAAGGCGGCCUUCUGGACGGAUACUGACGCUGAGACGCGAAAGCGUGGGGAGCAAACAGG
Molecule: ribosomal RNA, 253 nt
Filed under: uncultured bacterium
Lineage: Bacteria
Description: partial 16S ribosomal RNA
Rfam family: Bacterial small subunit ribosomal RNA
Source: RNAcentral